AGCAUAUCAAUAAGCGGAGGAAAAGAAACCAACAGGGAUUGCCCUAGUAACGGCGAGUGAAGCGGCAACAGCUCAAAUUUGAAAUCUGGCCUUCUGGUCCGAAUUGUAAUUUGUAGAGGAUGAUUUUGGUGCGGUACCUUCCGAGUUCCUUGGAACAGGACGCCUUAGAGGGUGAGAGCCCCGUACGGUUGGAUGCCUAGCCUUUGUAAAUCUCCUUCGACGAGUCGAGUAGUUUGGGAAUGCUGCUCUAAAUGGGAGGUAAAUUUCUUCUAAAGCUAAAUAUUGGCCAGAGACCGAUAGCGCACAAGUAGAGUGAUCGAAAGAUGAAAAGCACUUUGAAAAGAGGGUUAAAUAGCACGUGAAAUUGUUGAAAGGGAAGGAUUUAUGACCAGACUUUUUCUAGGCGGAUCAUCCGGUGUUCUCACCGGUGCACUUUGUCUAGUUUAGGCCAGCAUCGAUUUUCGGCAGCGGAUAAAAGCUUCAGGAAUGUGGCUCCUCCGGGAGUGUUAUAGCCUGUUGUAUAAUACGCCGCUGGGGAUCGAGGUACGCGCUUCUGCAAGGAUGCUGGCGUAAUGGUUAUCAAUCACCCGUCUUGAAACACGGACCAAGGAGUCGAACAUUUAUGCGAGUGUUUGGGUGUUAAACCCUCACGCGUAAUGAAAGUGAACGGAGGUGAGAGCCCUUACGGGUGCAUCAUCGACCGAUCCUGAUGUUUUCGGAUGGAUUUGAGUAAGAGCAUAACUGUUCGGACCCGAAAGAUGGUGAACUAUGCGUGGAUAGGGUGAAGCCAGAGGAAACUCUGGUGGAGGCUCGCAGCGGUUCUGACGUGCAAAUCGAUCGUCAAAUCUGCGCAUGGGGGCGAAAGACUAAUCGAACCCAUCAAGGCCC
RNAcentral lists this ribosomal RNA (888 nucleotides) under Robillarda roystoneae. Its description in RNAcentral is "partial large subunit ribosomal RNA". It matches the Rfam family "Eukaryotic large subunit ribosomal RNA", at positions 37 to 951 of the family's 3401-position model. The record is from RNAcentral. Lineage: Eukaryota; Fungi; Ascomycota; Sordariomycetes; Amphisphaeriales; Sporocadaceae.